CCUGCGCUGUAUAAGAAAGCUAGCUGACCUGGAGCAAGCCAGCAAGCAGAGUCCCUCCAUGGUUUCAGCUUCAAGACCUUGCUGGAGUUCCUGCCCUGACCUCCCUCGACGACCUGAAAGUUGAAGUCAAAUAAAACCCUUACCCCCACCCCCUACAACCACUUUUCAUCCGAGUGCUUUAUCACAGCAACAGGAAAGAACCAGUUCAGACCACGAGUCAGUGAGAGGACUCAGGUUUCACCAGCUCAACGUACCCGCACCUGAGUGCACACCUUCUGGCUCUGCUGGCUCUGACAUGCUCUUAAAGUGACAGUGACCUAGGCGGGCACAAGAGAAGGAAUGUGGACAGUCUGCAUUAUCUGGAAAGCGGCACGCGGCAUUUCUGCCUGUAUUCCAUGUACAAGAAGAAAUGCUAAAGACCCAGUGGGUUAUAAAGGAGUUCAGCGGUGGGAACAGGAAAAAAAAAAAAAAAAAAAAAAAAAAAAAAAAAAAGAGGAAGGACUUAAUACUGAUGAAAAUCAACGGCUUCUCACAGGAUCAAGAGGAUGAUCAGAAGGCAAAAGGUAUGGACUCUGCAGCCCAUGUCCUGUGCAAGCUCCCUUCCCCCACCUAGCAACCAAACAGAAGGUUCUAAGUCAAGAAAAAAGAACAGAGAGAGCUACAGGAUGAAAUAAACCGAACACCUCGGUAAUGCCCCUGCCUCAGCCGCUCCACACCAGACGAAGACCCCUGAUGAGUACAGAGAACUUAAGGGUGAACCCCUUUCUGUGAAGCUUGGGAGACAAAAGAAGAAUGAAAGAAAUCAGGCUCGCCAGAGAAGGGCCCCAUGUGUGACCCCAUCCCCAACAUGCGCUUAGCACCUGAAGAGAGGCUGAAUGUGCACCUGUCAGAGGAAUGAAGAGCAGUGUGGGUGUGUGAACUGCAAUGCAUGUGCAAGACCGAAGGGCAGCCUGGGUGCCUGGCUGCGCAUGUGCAGAAUCAAAAUUCAAAGAAGUUCCUGAGAAACCAGGAAAUAUAACACACAGUUCAAGCCACCAAACACGACUUUCCCAUGAACUAAGUUUCGCCUGAUUCUAUCGUUUUCCCAGAGGACCAGCAGCCAUUUCUGGUUUCAUUCAGUUCCUUUCUUAUUUUAUUUCUAAUUUGUUUUUUUAAAAACAUCCCAUCUAUUGGAUGAAUGCACAUUUAGCAAACAGGAAUAAACGGGCAUCUCUCAUUAGAACAAGAUGGCUUUCAUCUUUCUCCUGGACUUUAGUCCUGUUUUUCUACUUGAUGCUCAUCACUGCGUCCCAGGGAACAAAGACUUAGGGAAAACGCUGCUGUUUUGGAGUUUCCUCUUGGGAGCCCUGUGGAGUUAGGCAGAGGACACUCUGGCUGUUGUCUCAUUCUGAGAGGAAAGAAGGGAGCUCUCUCGGGUGCUUGCAAAUACCUGCUCUUUUUUAACAUGUUCACCCCAAUUUCCACUCUUUCUGCCUCGUACACAGCUAGCCUGCUCUGGAAUUAAAUAAAUAAAUAUAUACGUGUGUGCAUGUG
Molecule: long non-coding RNA, 1533 nt
Organism: Peromyscus maniculatus bairdii (prairie deer mouse)
Lineage: Eukaryota; Metazoa; Chordata; Mammalia; Rodentia; Cricetidae
Source: RefSeq, a predicted model, not a curated record